RNAcentral lists this ribosomal RNA (450 nucleotides) under uncultured bacterium. RNAcentral describes it as "partial 16S ribosomal RNA". It matches the Rfam family "Bacterial small subunit ribosomal RNA", at positions 354 to 796 of the family's 1533-position model. The record is from RNAcentral.
GUGGGGAAUUUUGGACAAUGGGGGCAACCCUGAUCCAGCCAUGCCGCGUGCGGGAAGAAGGCCUUCGGGUUGUAAACCGCUUUUGUCAGGGAAGAAAUCCUUUGGGUUAAUACCUCGGAGGGAUGACGGUACCUGAAGAAUAAGCACCGGCUAACUACGUGCCAGCAGCCGCGGUAAUACGUAGGGUGCGAGCGUUAAUCGGAAUUACUGGGCGUAAAGCGUGCGCAGGCGGUUUUGUAAGAUCGAUGUGAAAUCCCCGGGCUUAACCUGGGAACUGCGCUUGUGACUGCACGGCUAGAGUAUGGCAGAGGGGGGUGGAAUUCCACGUGUAGCAGUGAAAUGCGUAGAGAUGUGGAGGAACACCGAUGGCGAAGGCAGCCCCCUGGGCCAAUACUGACGCUCAUGCACGAAAGCGUGGGGAGCAAACAGGAUUAGAUACCCUAGUAGUCC